Molecule: ribosomal RNA, 495 nt
Filed under: uncultured bacterium
Lineage: Bacteria
Description: partial 16S ribosomal RNA
Rfam family: Bacterial small subunit ribosomal RNA
Source: RNAcentral
AUGCACGCUGGCGGCGUGCCUAUACAUGCAAGUCGAGCGAACGGACGCGAAGCUUGCUUCUCUGAUGUUAGCGGCGGACGGGUGAGUAACACGUGGAUAACCUACCUAUAAGACUGGGAUAACUUCGGGAAACCGGAGCUAAUACCGGAUAAUAUUUUGAACCGCAUGGUUCAAAAGUGAAAGACGGUCUUGCUGUCACUUAUAGAUGGAUCCGCGCUGCAUUAGCUAGUUGGUAAGGUAACGGCUUACCAAGGCAACGAUGCAUAGCCGACCUGAGAGGGUGAUCGGCCACACUGGAACUGAGACACGGUCCAGACUCCUACGGGAGGCAGCAGUAGGGAAUCUUCCGCAAUGGGCGAAAGCCUGACGGAGCAACGCCGCGUGAGUGAUGAAGGUCUUCGGAUCGUAAAACUCUGUUAUUAGGGAAGAACAUAUGUGUAAGUAACUGUGCACAUCUUGACGGUACCUAAUCAGAAAGCCACGGCUAACUACGUG